RNAcentral lists this ribosomal RNA (468 nucleotides) under uncultured bacterium. RNAcentral's name for it is "partial 16S ribosomal RNA". It matches the Rfam family "Bacterial small subunit ribosomal RNA", at positions 28 to 507 of the family's 1533-position model. The record is from RNAcentral.
GAUGAACGCUGGCGGCGUGCCUAAUACAUGCAAGUCGAACGGACAGGCCCUGCUCUUGCGCGGCGCACGUGUGCGGCACGCGUGAGUAUAACGCGUGUAACCCCUACCUGUCAGUGGGAUAUCACUAGGAAACACCGGCUCUUAUCGCAUAGAAUAUACUGCAGCACGGUGGGGGAUGGUAAAAUUCGGCGGUUGGGGAUGGUAUAGCGGCUUACGCGCCUGUUGGUGAGGUAGUGGCUUUCAAAGGCUGCGACGGGUACGCGGCCUGAGAGCGCGACCGGCCACCAUGGGACUGAGAGACGGCCCAGUCGCCUACGGGAGGCAGCAGUCGGGAAUAUUGCGCAAUAGGCGGAAGCCUGAGACAGCGACGCCGCGUGCGGGAUGACGUGCUUCGGGUGAUAAACCGCUGUCGCCUGUGACGAGGCGUGAGUGACGGUAAUGGGUAAAGAAGCACCGGCUAACUACGUG